RNAcentral lists this small RNA (723 nucleotides) under Pan troglodytes (chimpanzee). RNAcentral describes it as "retained intron". Lineage: Eukaryota; Metazoa; Chordata; Mammalia; Primates; Hominidae. The record is from RNAcentral.
AAGACAGAAAGUCCGUUGGAACCGUCUGCUGCACCCUGGUCUCUGGAGAUGAGGCAGGAGGGCUUGGGGACAGCUGGGGACACGGCCCAGAUGAUCCGGUCCCGGCAGAAGUGACUGGCGGGGACCAGGAUGCUGGAGGGUCAGCUCGAGGCCGGGGAGCCCAAGGAGGGCACCCACCCAGAGGACCCGUGCCCGGGAGCUGGGGCUGCCAUGGAGAAGACACCUGCAGCAGCCGAGGUCCCCAGGGAGGACGGCAAUGCCGGGGAGAUGCCGUCAUUACAGCAGCAGAUCACCAGACUCCACCAAGAGCUCGGGAGACAGCAGUCGCUGUGGGCUGAUGUUCACAGAAAACUCCAGAGUCAUAUGGAUGCCUUGAGGAAGCAGAACCGGGAGCUCCGAGAAGAGCUGAGAGAUCUGCAGCGGCAGCAGUGGGAAGCCGGGAAGAAACCAGCAGCGUCCCCACACGCGGGGCGAGAAUCACACACUCUGGCAUUGGAAUCUGCUUUUGGAAAAAUUUCACCUCUGUCAGCUGAUGAAGAGACAACGCCCAAAUACGCUGGCCGCAAGAGUCAGAGUGCCACUCUCCUGGGACAAAGAUCGUCAUCUAACCACUUAGCUCCUCCAAAGGUGACCCUUCGUGCUUAUCGUCUGUAAAGAGCAGCAGAGCUUCUGUAUGCAAACACACACAUCCCAUCAGCUCCUCACCACACAGUUUCACCUCCC